Molecule: ribosomal RNA, 174 nt
Filed under: uncultured bacterium
Lineage: Bacteria
Description: partial 16S ribosomal RNA
Rfam family: Bacterial small subunit ribosomal RNA
Source: RNAcentral
UCGGAAUUGCUAGUAAUCGUAGGUCAGCAUACUACGGUGAAUACGUUCCCGGGCCUUGUACACACCGCCCGUCAACCAUGAGAGUUGGCAACACCCGAAGUCGGUAGUCUAACCGCAAGGAGGACGCCGCCGAAGGUGGGGUUGAUGAUUAGGGUUAAGUCGUAACAAGGUACC